Small nuclear RNA from Argiope bruennichi, 192 nucleotides. RefSeq annotates it as U2 spliceosomal RNA. The transcript has a single exon. NCBI's taxonomy places the organism in Eukaryota, Metazoa, Arthropoda, Arachnida, Araneae, Araneidae. The record is from RefSeq and is a predicted model, not a curated record.
AUCGCUUCUCGGCCUUUUGGCUAAGAUCAAAGUGUAGUAUCUGUUCUUAUCAGCUUAAUAUCUGAUACGGCACCUAUUAGGUGCCUUCGAUAUUAAACUAAUUUUUGGAACUUGUUCCAGUUUCGCAAUUCAUUGCAUCUGGAGCGCAGGUUCGGCCGCUAUUGCACUGUCUGCGGCUCGGGCCUACUUAAU